RNAcentral lists this small nucleolar RNA (220 nucleotides) under Arabidopsis thaliana (thale cress). RNAcentral describes it as "U3 snRNA". It matches the Rfam family "Plant small nucleolar RNA U3". From Rfam's summary of the family: Small nucleolar RNAs (snoRNAs) are involved in the processing and modification of rRNA in the nucleolus. There are two main classes of snoRNAs: the box C/D class, and the box H/ACA class. U3 snoRNA is a member of the box C/D class. The record is from RNAcentral. Lineage: Eukaryota; Viridiplantae; Streptophyta; Magnoliopsida; Brassicales; Brassicaceae.
ACGACCUUACUUGAACAGGAUCUGUUCUAUAGGCUCGUACCUCUGUUUCCUUGAUUUCUCAAGAGACAGGCCCUUAACCCUGGUUGAUGAACCAUGACCGUGCGGCUAGAGCGUGAUUGACGGCUACGAUCGUCCUCGGACGCAUCCGGUGCUGUAGAGGAUCGUUACUCGGCUCGGUUUCUACCUUGCCGGGGUGGUCGCACGGCGGUCUGACAGGUCC